CUCAGGGUUGUAAACUGCUUUUGUAUGGGAAUAAAAAAGUCCUUGCGAGGACUCUUGAAGGUACCAUAAGAAUAAGCACCGGCUAACUCCGUGCCAGCAGCCGCGGUAAUACGGAGGGUGCAAGCGUUAUCCGGAUUUACUGGGUUUAAAGAGUGCGUAGGCGGCUUCUUAAGUCAAUGGUGAAAGCUUAGCGCUUAACGCUAGAAGUGCCACUGAUACUGGGAAGCUUGAGUCAAGAAGAGGUAAGCAGAAUUCAUAGUGUAGCAGUGAAAUGCUUAGAUACUAUGAGGAAUACCAACAGCGAAGGCAGCUUACUGGUCUUGUACUGACGCUGAGGCACGAAAGCGUGGGUAGCGAACAGGAUUAGAUACCCUGGUAGUCCACGCCGUAAACGAUGAUCACUCGAUGUACACGCUAGUCGUGUGUGUCUAAGCAAAAGCAUUAAGUGAU
RNAcentral lists this ribosomal RNA (450 nucleotides) under uncultured Alphaproteobacteria bacterium. RNAcentral describes it as "bacterial SSU rRNA". It matches the Rfam family "Bacterial small subunit ribosomal RNA", at positions 416 to 868 of the family's 1533-position model. The record is from RNAcentral. Lineage: Bacteria; Pseudomonadati; Pseudomonadota; Alphaproteobacteria.